GCGUUGACGGGAGCGGGGGAUUAGGGUUCGAUUCCGGAGAGGGAGCCUGAGAAAUAGCUACCACUUCUACGGAGGGCAGCAGGCGCGCAAAUUGCCCAAUGUCAAAAAAAAAGAUGAGGCAGCGAAAAGAAAUAGAGCCGACGGUGCCUAGUGCAUUGUCGUAUUCAAUGGGGGAUAUUUAAACCCAUCCAAAAUCGAGUAACUAUUGGAGGACAAGUCUGGUGCCAGCACCCGCGGUA
This 239-nucleotide ribosomal RNA is filed under the name Trypanosoma sp. CYAOLI02. Its description in RNAcentral is "partial 18S ribosomal RNA". It matches the Rfam family "Eukaryotic small subunit ribosomal RNA", at positions 349 to 581 of the family's 1831-position model. The record is from RNAcentral. Lineage: Eukaryota; Euglenozoa; Kinetoplastea; Trypanosomatida; Trypanosomatidae.